CUACGGAGGGGACUAGCGUUGUUCGGAAUUACUGGGCGUAAAGAGUUCGUAGGCGGACUGAUAAGUAAGAGGUGAAAUCCCAGGGCUCAACCCUGGAACUGCCUUUUAAACUGUCAGUCUAGAGACCGGAAGAGGUUAGGGGAAUACCUAGUGUAGAGGUGAAAUUCGUAGAUAUUAGGUGGAACACCAGUGGCGAAGGCGCCUGACUGGUCCGGUACUGACGCUGAGGAACGAAAGCGUGGGGAGCAAACAGGAUUAGAAACCCCAGUAGUCC
This 274-nucleotide ribosomal RNA is filed under the name uncultured bacterium. RNAcentral's name for it is "partial 16S ribosomal RNA". It matches the Rfam family "Bacterial small subunit ribosomal RNA", at positions 523 to 796 of the family's 1533-position model. The record is from RNAcentral.